CCUUGAGGCUCCAACUCACCUUUCUGAAAUAGGAACCUUGCUUAUUGGGAACGAUGAGUAGGGGGUUAUGUUCUCUAGCUUUGCGCAGUGGCAGUAUCGUAGCCAAUGAGGUUUAUCCGAGGCGCGAUUAUUGCUAAUUGAAAACUUUUCCCAAUACCCCGCCGUGACGACUUGAAAUAUAGUCGGCAUUGGCAAUUUUUGACAGUCUCUACGGAGACUGAAUAAGGCAAGUUUAAAGAAAGUAUGUGUUUCAUAACUACUGUAAACCUAUGGGAGAAUACGUUGUAAGUCCUAAGUCACAAACAGCGUGAAAGAAACGCUGAGAGUUCAAAAUGACCAGUAGCUAUAUGCCCAACUUCAACUUUUCACCGUUAUCAGAUAGGGAAUUGCCUUGCUAGAAAAUCCUAGCACGUUACUGUCGUUUUAGGUUUUGAUUUCAAUAAAAGCGAUUAGCUUUUGUUAACAGUUCGUUUCAUACCUGUUCCUCAGUUUUAGUUCGUUCUUUACACUUGCGUGUUAGUUGUUGUCCAAGUCGUAUUAAUAAUUGUUUUUUAUUUCUUAAUAUUUAUUUUUCUGGUUUUAACACCAACACUUCCAUUUACUCGUCCCGUCUCGCAUUACUCUCUGUUUCGGUUUUUUUCUUGUCGCUGUUCUUUAGAACGCGAGUCUUACCCGCAGCGUCUUGGUGAUGUCAUGGUAAUUUGCAUAAAAUUCUCCAGCGUCCUUAGCGAAAGGCGUUCUUAUUUUCGAAAGGUUAGGGUUCGACAAGAGUUGCUCUAAUACCCGGCAGCUCUUCGCGCACACGUGUUUUAAACAGGAAUGUGUGCAGGGAAAUGCUUCAUAUCUCCCAGCUCGUUGUUAGUCGCUCACCCUCACGGUAAAGACAGUUGUCAUCCAUGGGGGAGCAAAAGAAUGCGGCUUGUUAGGGUGAAGGUGGUGGAACAGCUUCUACUGAUUCAAAGCAGCACAGUGUGGAAAACCGCCCUAGCUGCAGAUCAGACACAGUCCCUGCUUCAAGGAACUCACCGUUUUGAAAACACAGAUAAACAACAUAAUUACAGAUUAUUUCAAUGUUAUAGACAGAUGUGAUGAAGCCAUCCAGAAGACCAGCCGAGUUCCAACACCACCCACUAUGGAGCACUUAUUGUGUGCCAGACGCCGCAUGAACUGCUUACUUCCUGUGCCAGACUCCAUGCAAAGUGCUUGAGAUGCUUUGUUUCAUUUAAUUCUUACAGAAACCUUUCUCCCCAUUCCUUUUUUUUUUUUUUUUUACAAACAGCUCUACUGAGGCAUAAUUGAUAUUCAAUAAACUGCAGAUAUUUAAAGCCUA
Orcinus orca (killer whale) is the source of this 1330-nucleotide long non-coding RNA. RefSeq lists it as uncharacterized. The record is from RefSeq and is a predicted model, not a curated record. The transcript has 2 exons. NCBI's taxonomy places the organism in Eukaryota, Metazoa, Chordata, Mammalia, Artiodactyla, Delphinidae.